AUUUAAGUAGUUUAUAAAAAUAUGGGCUUGUGGAGCCUGAGAUGUAGUUAUUACCUUAAAUA
Molecule: transfer RNA, 62 nt
Filed under: Clytra quadripunctata
Lineage: Eukaryota; Metazoa; Arthropoda; Insecta; Coleoptera; Chrysomelidae
Description: tRNA-His
Rfam family: tRNA
About the family: Transfer RNA (tRNA) molecules are approximately 80 nucleotides in length.
Source: RNAcentral